RNAcentral lists this ribosomal RNA (357 nucleotides) under Staphylococcus aureus. Its description in RNAcentral is "bacterial SSU rRNA". It matches the Rfam family "Bacterial small subunit ribosomal RNA", at positions 30 to 376 of the family's 1533-position model. The record is from RNAcentral. Lineage: Bacteria; Bacillati; Bacillota; Bacilli; Caryophanales; Staphylococcaceae.
UGAACGCUGGCGGCGUGCCUAAUACAUGCAAGUCGAGCGAACGGACGAGAAGCUUGCUUCUCUGAUGUUAGCGGCGGACGGGUGAGUAACACGUGGAUAACCUACCUAUAAGACUGGGAUAACUUCGGGAAACCGGAGCUAAUACCGGAUAAUAUUUUGAACCGCAUGGUUCAAAAGUAAAAGACGGUCUUGCUGUCACUUAUAGAUGGAUCCGCGCUGCAUUAGCUAGUUGGUAAGGUAACGGCUUACCAAGGCAACGAUGCAUAGCCGACCUGAGAGGGUGAUCGGCCACACUGGAACUGAGACACGGUCCAGACUCCUACGGGAGGCAGCAGUAGGGAAUCUUCCGCAAUGGGC